This 526-nucleotide ribosomal RNA is filed under the name uncultured Vibrionaceae bacterium. RNAcentral's name for it is "bacterial SSU rRNA". It matches the Rfam family "Bacterial small subunit ribosomal RNA", at positions 870 to 1398 of the family's 1533-position model. Lineage: Bacteria; Pseudomonadati; Pseudomonadota; Gammaproteobacteria; Vibrionales; Vibrionaceae. The record is from RNAcentral.
CGCCUGGGGAGUACGGUCGCAAGAUUAAAACUCAAAUGAAUUGACGGGGGCCCGCACAAGCGGUGGAGCAUGUGGUUUAAUUCGAUGCAACGCGAAGAACCUUACCUACUCUUGACAUCCAGAGAACCUUUUAGAGAUAAAAGGGUGCCUUCGGGAACUCUGAGACAGGUGCUGCAUGGCUGUCGUCAGCUCGUGUUGUGAAAUGUUGGGUUAAGUCCCGCAACGAGCGCAACCCUUAUCCUUGUUUGCCAGCACUUCGGGUGGGAACUCCAGGGAGACUGCCGGUGAUAAACCGGAGGAAGGUGGGGACGACGUCAAGUCAUCAUGGCCCUUACGAGUAGGGCUACACACGUGCUACAAUGGCAUAUACAGAGGGCUGCCAACUCGCGGGAGUGAGCGAAUCCCAUAAAGUAUGUCGUAGUCCGGAUUGGAGUCUGCAACUCGACUCCAUGAAGUCGGAAUCGCUAGCAAUCGUAUCAGAAUGCCACGGUGAAUACGUUCCCGGGCCUUGAACACACCGCCCGUC